Molecule: small nuclear RNA, 184 nt
Organism: Protopterus annectens (West African lungfish)
Lineage: Eukaryota; Metazoa; Chordata; Ceratodontiformes; Protopteridae
Product: U2 spliceosomal RNA
Exons: 1
Source: RefSeq, a predicted model, not a curated record
AUUGCUUCUCAGCCUUUUGGCUAAGAUCAAGUGUAGUAUCUGUUCUUAUCAGUUUAAUAUCUGACAUGUCCCUUAUCUGGGGACCAUAUAUUAAAUUGAUUUUUGGAACAGGGAGAUGGAAUAGGGGAUUACCCCUUAUCUGGGGUUCAUAUAUUAAUAAAUUGAUAUAGAAAAGCAACAAGAA